AUUGCAUUAAGCAAAUACUUAUCCCUCCAUGCAUCGAUGUCCAUGGCCCAGCUACGCUCCUCUCCUGCGAGUGGCAGUGACGGAGAGAUGAGGUGCAGCUGAAAGAAGUUGUUCGGACCAAAUGGAGAAGAUGACGACAGAGAAGAUCCACAUUGGAGAAGACGUCACCUGGGAGGCUCUGGAUGUGAGAGGGUACUGGAAUAAUAUCCUGGCAGAAAAGACAAGAACUCUGUGAGAUCCUGAAAUGGAUAUGAAGUGGGAAGAUGAAGCAGAGGGCAAG
Long non-coding RNA from Bufo gargarizans (Asiatic toad), 280 nucleotides. RefSeq lists it as uncharacterized. The transcript has 3 exons. The record is from RefSeq and is a predicted model, not a curated record. Lineage: Eukaryota; Metazoa; Chordata; Amphibia; Anura; Bufonidae.